CUAGUUGGUGUGGUAAAAGCAUACCAAGGCGACGAUCAGUAGCUGGUCUGAGAGGAUGAGCAGCCACACUGGGACUGAGACACGGCCCAGACUCCUACGGGAGGCAGCAGUGGGGAAUUUUCCGCAAUGGGCGAAAGCCUGACGGAGCAAGACCGCGUGGGGGAGGAAGGCUUUAGGGUUGUAAACCCCUUUUCUUUGGGAAGAACAUAUUGACGGUACCAAAGGAAUCAGCCUCGGCUAACUCCGUGCCACCAGCCGCGGUAAUACGGAGGAGGCAAGCGUUAUCCGGAAUGAUUGGGCGUAAAGCGUCCGCAGGUGGCCAUGUAAGUCUGCUGUCAAAACCCAGGGCUCAACUCUGGUCAGGCAGUGGAAACUACAAAGCUAGAGUCUGGUAGGGGCAAAGGGAAUUCCCGGCGUAGCGGUGAAAUGCGUAAAUUUCG
This 440-nucleotide ribosomal RNA is filed under the name Blennothrix glutinosa M31. RNAcentral's name for it is "bacterial SSU rRNA". It matches the Rfam family "Bacterial small subunit ribosomal RNA", at positions 245 to 699 of the family's 1533-position model. Lineage: Bacteria; Bacillati; Cyanobacteriota; Cyanophyceae; Oscillatoriales; Microcoleaceae. The record is from RNAcentral.